RNAcentral lists this long non-coding RNA (1990 nucleotides) under Ananas comosus (pineapple). Its description in RNAcentral is "long non-coding RNA (ACOM_LNC001189)". Lineage: Eukaryota; Viridiplantae; Streptophyta; Magnoliopsida; Poales; Bromeliaceae. The record is from RNAcentral.
GAGUAGUCCUAGGAUGGGUGACCCCCUGGGAAGUUGGGGCGUCACACGAUAUGGAAUACUUGCUAGUUUAACGGUGUAAAAAAAUUGGAAUAGGUUGAAUUUUUGAUAAAAAAAUUUUAUUCACUUCCUAGAUAAAGAUCAAUAACUCUGAUCUUAAAUUGAAGGAUCCGAUCAUCCAUUUUUAGGACGUCAUUCGAUUGACUGUUUAUUUUAUGUCCGCUUGAUAGACUUUAUUAUAAUUUUGAAAAAUUAUGAAAUUUAUUUUUUAGAAGUUUCAAAUAUUUUAAAUCAUAUUUAACUUAGUGGAUCAUCGAUUCGGAAGCUCCAUCACCAAAAAUAACUUAUGAGUACGAAGGGCUAUAUACUCAUAAGAGUAUAGUAGCCCUACUCUCUCUCUCUCUCUCUCUCUCUCUCUCUCUCUAUAUAUAUAUAUAUAGGUCAUGGCUACUAUACUAUUAUGAGUAUUGGAGCCUUCUUACUCAUAAGUUGUUUUCAAUGAUGGAGCUUCCGAAUCGACGAUCCACUCCAUUAAAUAUGAUCUAGAGUAUUUGAAACUUCUAGAAAACAAAUUUCGUAAAUUUUCGAAAUCAUAAUAAAGUCCAUCAAGUGGGCAUAAAAUGAACAGUCAAAAUCGAACGACGUCUUAAAAAAGGAUGAUCGGAUCCUUCAAUUUAAGAUCGGAGUUAUUGAUCUUUAUUUAGGUAGCGAAUAGAAUUUUCUAUCAAAAUUUCAACCUAUUCCGAUUCUUUUGCACCGUUAAACUAGCAAGUAUUCCAUACCGGCCAUUAAAAAUUGUCAAUUUUGUGAGUUUUUGAUCGUAAGGUAAAUAAUGUCGAAAAAUUAUAAAAUUUAAUUUCUAGAAGUUUUAAAUGCUGUAAAUAACGUUUAACGGUGUGGAUCGUGGAUUCAGAAGCUCUAUCAUCGACAACAACUUAUGAGUACGAGGGCGAUCGUACUCAUAAUAGUAUAGUAGCCGGACCCUAUAUAUAUAUAGAGUCCAGCUAUGGUGCUUGUAAGUUUUUUACCGUUAGAUCUUCUCCUCGGAUUAUUUUCAACCAUUCGAUUAUACUAUUUAACCAACCACUCACUCAACCCUAGGGGGCCCACAUCAUCCUAACCGUAUAUCUUUUAAUCCAAUGGCUAAAAAUCUAUAAGCACCAACAACUUGGUACUUUUAAAAGUAUAGGAGCUCAAUUAUAUAUAUAUAUCAUUCAAGAGUCAACUUUUUUAUAAUUGUCUUAUCACUCUAUUUCUUAAAGGCUACAUUACAGAAAACCUCCCUAUCAAUACCCGUUUUUUCACUUUCUUUUCCUAUUAUUUAAAAAUCUACACUUUGCUCUCUUGUAAAAUAAAAAAUGUUCAUUUCACCCUCUGCCGUUAGUGCUCCAUUAGGGUUCCAUUUAUAAAAUAUUAUUAUAUAUUUUUUAUACCAAAAAUACCCUCAGCUUUCUUUCCUGCCGCCUUGCCCUCCUCCGCCUCGCCGCCUCGCCCUCCUCCACUGCCUCGCCAUCGCCCACAUCUCUGUCCGCGCCUACAAACACCCCCUCGCCCUUCUCCGCCGCUUUGCCUUCGCUUUCAUUACCCUUGCUCACCUCUCCAUCUAUGCCCACCUCGAUUUCCUUCCUAUUAUCGCCGAAAUGGAGGGGUGACGAGGGUGCAGGAAAAAAAGGGGAGCAGGUGAAGAAGAACUGCGAUCGAUCGAGGUGCAAGAAAUGGAAGAGAAGAGGCGGCGGAUGACCAAGAUGAGGGAGGCGACGAAAAUGAUUAGGGGCAAAUUAGUCUUCAUCAUCAGAGUUCACACUGUACCCCCUGUGAACGUUUUUCAUUUUACAAGGAGGCAAAGUGUAGGUUUUUAAAUGGCCGAGGGAAAAAGUAAAAAAGCGGGUAUUUAUAAAUGGGGUUUAGGAUUUAGGGUUUAGGGGCAAAGUGUAGGUUUUUAAAUGACAGGGACAAAGAUUUUCACUCAAAGAGUUGGAUGCACCAAUAGUAU